GACUUAAGCAUAUCAAUAAGCGGAGGAAAAGAAACCAACAGGGAUUGCCUCAGUAACGGCGAGUGAAGCGGCAAGAGCUCAAAUUUGAAAGCUGGCCCCCUCGGGGUCCGCGUUGUAAUUUGCAGAGGAUGCUUCGGGUGCAGCCCCCGUCUAAGUGCCCUGGAACGGGCCGUCAUAGAGGGUGAGAAUCCCGUCUGGGACGGGGUGUCUGCGUCCGUGUGAAGCUCCUUCGACGAGUCGAGUUGUUUGGGAAUGCAGCUCUAAAUGGGUGGUAAAUUUCAUCUAAAGCUAAAUACUGGCCGGAGACCGAUAGCGCACAAGUAGAGUGAUCGAAAGAUGAAAAGCACUUUGAAAAGAGAGUUAAACAGCACGUGAAAUUGUUGAAAGGGAAGCGUUUGCGACCAGACUCGCCCGCGGGGUUCAGCCGGCAUUCGUGCCGGUGUACUUCCCCGUGGGCGGGCCAGCGUCGGUUUGGGCGGCCGGUCAAAGGCCCUCGGAAUGUAUCACCUCUCGGGGUGUCUUAUAGCCGAGGGUGCAAUGCGGCCUGCCCGGACCGAGGAACGCGCUUCGGCUCGGACGCUGGCGUAAUGGUCGUAAAUGACCCGUCUUGAAACACGGACCAAGGAGUCUAACAUCUACGCGAGUGUUCGGGUGUCAAACCCGUACGCGCAGUGAAAGCGAACGGAGGUGGGAGCCCCCUCGCGGGGCGCACCAUCGACCGAUCCUGAUGUCUUCGGAUGGAUUUGAGUACGAGCGUAGCUGUGGGGACCCGAAAGAUGGUGAACUAUGCCUGAAUAGGGCGAAGCCAGAGGAAACUCUGGUGGAGGCUCGCAGCGGUUCUGACGUGCAAAUCGAUCUU
Molecule: ribosomal RNA, 859 nt
Filed under: Aspergillus fumigatus
Lineage: Eukaryota; Fungi; Ascomycota; Eurotiomycetes; Eurotiales; Aspergillaceae
Description: LSU rRNA
Rfam family: Eukaryotic large subunit ribosomal RNA
Source: RNAcentral